RNAcentral lists this ribosomal RNA (292 nucleotides) under uncultured bacterium. RNAcentral's name for it is "partial 16S ribosomal RNA". It matches the Rfam family "Bacterial small subunit ribosomal RNA", at positions 505 to 796 of the family's 1533-position model. The record is from RNAcentral.
GUGUCAGCCGCCGCGGUAAUACGGAGGGUGCGAGCGUUGUCCGGAAUCACUGGGCGUAAAGGGCGCGUAGGCGGCCCGGUAAGUAGGGGGUGAAAUCUUGCGGCUUAACCGCAAGGCUGCCUUCUAGACUGCCAGGCUCGAGCACAGUAGAGGCAGGUGGAAUUCCCGGUGUAGCGGUGGAAUGCGUAGAGAUCGGGAAGAACAUCAGUGGCGAAGGCGGCCUGCUGGACUGUAGCUGACGCUGAGGCGCGACAGCGUGGGGAGCAAACAGGAUUAGAAACCCGAGUAGUCC